Molecule: long non-coding RNA, 1341 nt
Organism: Humulus lupulus (European hop)
Lineage: Eukaryota; Viridiplantae; Streptophyta; Magnoliopsida; Rosales; Cannabaceae
Exons: 2
Source: RefSeq, a predicted model, not a curated record
GUAUAACCCAAGUUAUAAUUUCUAACCUAGCUGCCUCGCACCUCCCCUUAAGCCGCCUCUUGACCUAGAUGUAGCAGGAACUCAACUGAGCAACUCAUGCUCUUUCUCACACUUACCAUUUGUUAUUUCUUUUUGAUAUCAAAUUACUACUUCAAAUGUUUACGGUGUGAGAGUUUUAGGUUUUUCUCCUCAACCUCUGUCCUGGUUCAUCAAUUAGGACAAUUAAUUUUGUGGAUGGCCGAGUUUCUGGUGUUGUUAGCCGAAAUGGGCUAUCAAGUCCUUUCCGACCACUCUGUGAUAUCAUCACCAUCCAUAUUUCGUGUCCCUUCAUUAACCCUAAUUUUUUCUGUUGCUUUUGUUUUUUAUUUUGAUUUUGUUUGGGGCCAAUGAUUAAAUAUUAAAUUUAGACAAGCAUAUGUCUGAAAUUACUGUGUGGAACUCACUAAUCUUCUCUAUGAGGCCCUGUUAUAAAAAAAUAAGGUUGAUUUAAUUUUUUUUUAUGUGGGUUUGUGAGAAUAACAAGGAUUUCUAGUGUUUUUAUUUAUUUAUUUUUUAAUUUUGAAAAUCGCCAAUGAAGAAAAGACUGGUAUUAUCCAAUUGAUGAAUCAAUGUGAUUACAUUAUACCACUACUGCCUUCCUUCCGAGGCUAAAUUUUAAAUAUUUUUAUUUUAUUAAUUUUAAGUAUGGUCGUAUGAUGAUUUAUAAUGCAUAGUUCAGAUGAAUAUCUGUGAUUAUUAUAUUUCUUAGUCUUUCGCUCCUAUCUGACGACCUAUAUCUUUGAAUUUAGCUUAUAUACAUAUUUCUGCUUUAUUGGUUCUUUUUCAUGAUUGGUAUUAAUUUUUAUUUAAUUUGUUUUUUUUAUAUGAAGAAGUAUGUAUUUAUUGAUAGUGUUCGACAGUGGAGAAGGAAUGCAGUUUCUGAUAUGAUCAUUACAUAUUGCAAACAAUUGGUAGAAGGGACAGUGAAGAUAUUCAUUUAUGGUCUCGUUCGUCGUAGUGGACUGUUGUAGUCCUUGCCGAUAAUCCAUAUUCUGAGUCCUAUAAUUUUUCUUGUUGUGCUCUUCAGAUGUAAACCCUUGAGAUUUGUUUGCAGCUUUUUGAUUUUGGUUAGCGGUGGAUGCUAAAAUAUUAAAUUUAGACAAAUGUAUUGUUGAAAUUUCUAUAUGCACCAAUCUUAGACUCAUUAAAGUUGCGAUAGCUCAAAUAGCGAAACGGCUGUGAACAUUAUUUCAUUUAGUUUUGAGCGAAGGAGCUUAGGGGUUAAUGAAGAUCUAUAUUUAUGGUCUCGUUCGUCGUAAUGAAGAUCUAUAUUUAUGAUCUAUAAUACAAUUUUUUUUGUGA